AGAGUUUGAUCGUGGCUCAGAUUGAACGCUGGCGGCAGGCUUAACACAUGCAAGUCGAACGCCCCGCAGGGGGAGUGGCAGACGGGUGAGUAACGCGUGGGAACGUACCUUUCGCUUCGGAAUAUUCCCGGGAAACUGGGAGCAAUGCCGAAUACGCCGUAUUGGGAAAGAUUUAUCGGCGAAAGAUCGGCCCGCGUUAGAUUAGGUAGUUGGCGGUGUAAUGGACCACCAAGCCUACGAUCUAUAGCUGGUCUGAGAGGAUGAUCAGCCACACUGGGACUGAGACACGGCCCACACUCCUACGGGAGGCAGCAGUGGGGAAUUUUGGACAAUGGGGGCAACCCUGAUCCAGCCAUGCCGCGUGCGGAAAGAAGGCCUUCGGGUUGUAAACCGCUUUUAGUCGGGAAAAAAAGAUCACGGAUAACACCUGUGGUUCUUGACGGUACCGGCGGAAUAAGCACCGGCUAACUACGUGCCAGCAGCCGCGGUAAUACGUAGGGUGCGAGCGUUAAUCGGAAUUACUGGGCGUAAAGCGUGCGCAGGCGGUUUCGUUAAAUUUCGAUGUGAAAGCCCCGGGCUCAACCCUAGAGAACUGCAUUGGAACUGGGCGAGCUUGAGUCGCGCAGCUAACGCAUUAAGUCAUCCGCCUGGGGGGAGUACGGGUCGCAGAUUACACUCAAGGUAUUUGGACGGGGGCCUGCACAGCGGUGGAGACCUGUUGUGUUUUUAUUCGAAGCACCGCGCAGAUUCUUAACGAGCGUUUGGACAUCUAUCGCUGAUUCAGAGAUGCUUUCUUCAGUCGGCUGGAUUAAUGACAGUGCUUGCAUGCUGUCGUCAGCUCUGUCCAGAGAAAUGGUUGGAUUCACGUCCAGCAACGAGCCAUUGUAGGAUCAGUUGCCAGCAGAUCCUAGACGACUGCUGACAGAAGA
This 929-nucleotide ribosomal RNA is filed under the name uncultured bacterium. RNAcentral describes it as "bacterial SSU rRNA". It matches the Rfam family "Bacterial small subunit ribosomal RNA", at positions 8 to 1164 of the family's 1533-position model. The record is from RNAcentral.